RNAcentral lists this ribosomal RNA (253 nucleotides) under uncultured bacterium. RNAcentral's name for it is "partial 16S ribosomal RNA". It matches the Rfam family "Bacterial small subunit ribosomal RNA", at positions 524 to 776 of the family's 1533-position model. The record is from RNAcentral.
UACGAAGGGGACUAGCGUUGUUCGGAAUCACUGGGCGUAAAGCGCACGUAGGCGGAUAUGUCAGUCAGGGGUGAAAUCCCGGGGCUUAACCUCGGAACUGCCUUUGAUACAGCAUAUCUUGAGUCCGAUAGAGGUGGGUGGAAUUCCUAGUGUAGAGGUGAAAUUCGUAGAUAUUAGGAAGAACACCGGUGGCGAAGGCGGCCCACUGGAUCGGUACUGACGCUGAGGUGCGAAAGCGUGGGGAGCAAACAGG